AGAGUUUGAUCAUGGCUCAGAACGAACGCUGGCGGCGUGGAUAAGACAUGCAAGUCGAGCGCUCAUUCGUUUGCAGCAAUGUAAACGGGUGGGAGCGGCGUAAGGGUGCGUAACGCGUGGGUAAUUUGCCGUGAAGUUGGGAAUAACUCGCUGAAAGGCGAGCUAAUGCCGAAUGUGGUUGCCUGGUGGCAUCAUCAGGUUACCAAAGUUGGGGACCGCAAGGCCUGACGCUUCACGAUAAGCCCGCGACCUAUCAGCUAGUUGGUGAGGUAACGGCCCACCAAGGCGAAGACGGGUAGCUGGUCUGAGAGGACGACCAGCCACACUGGAACUGAGACACGGUCCAGACACCUACGGGUGGCAGCAGUCGAGAAUUUUUCACAAUGGGCGCAAGCCUGAUGGAGCGACGCCGCGUGGGGGAUGAAGGGCUUCGGUCCGUAAACCCCUGUCAUUUGCGAACAAACCUCUCCCGUGAACAACGGGAGAGCUGAUGGUAGCGAAAGAGGAAGGGACGGCUAACUCUGUGCCAGCAGCCGCGGUAAUACAGAGGUCCCGAGCGUUGUUCGGAUUCACUGGGCGUAAAGGGUGCGUAGGUGGUGAGGUAAGUCGGAUGUGAAAGCUCGGAGCUCAACUCCGAAAUGGCAUUGGAAACUACCUUGCUUGAGGGUUGGAGGGGGGACUGGAAUUCUCGGUGUAGCAGUGAAAUGCGUAGAGAUCGAGAGGAACACCAGUGGCGAAGGCGAGUCCCUGGACAACACCUGACGCUGAGGCACGAAAGCUAGGGGAGCAAACAGGAUUAGAUACCCUAGUAGUCC
Molecule: ribosomal RNA, 815 nt
Filed under: uncultured bacterium
Lineage: Bacteria
Description: bacterial SSU rRNA
Rfam family: Bacterial small subunit ribosomal RNA
Source: RNAcentral